UCGGGGGUACACGAGUGGCGAACGGGUGAGUAACACGUGGGUAAUCUGCCCUGCACUUCGGGAUAAGCCUGGGAAACCGGGUCUAAUACCGGAUAUGAGCUCCUGCCGCAUGGUGGGGGUUGGAAAGUUUUUCGGUGCAGGAUGAGUCCGCGGCCUAUCAGCUUGUUGGUGGGGUAAUGGCCUACCAAGGCGACGACGGGUAGCCGGCCUGAGAGGGUGAUCGGCCACACUGGGACUGAGACACGGCCCAGACUCCUACGGGAGGCAGCAGUGGGGAAUAUUGCACAAUGGGCGGAAGCCUGAUGCAGCGACGCCGCGUGGGGGAUGACGGUCUUCGGAUUGUAAACUCCUUUCAGUAGGGACGAAGCGAGAGUGACGGUACCUGCAGAAGAAGCACCGGCCAACUACGUGCCAGCAGCCGCGGUAAUACGUAGGGUGCAAGCGUUGUCCGGAAUUACUGGGCGUAAAGAGCUCGUAGGCGGUUUGUCGCGUCGUCUGUGAAAUCCUCCAGCUCAACUGGGGGCGUGCAGGCGAUACGGGCAGACUUGAGUACUACAGGGGAGACUGGAAUUCCUGGUGUAGCGGUGAAAUGCGCAGAUAUCAGGAGGAACACCGGUGGCGAAGGCGGGUCUCUGGGUAGUAACUGACGCUGAGGAGCGAAAGCAUGGGGAGCAAACAGGAUUAGAUACCCUGGUAGUCCAUGCCGUA
RNAcentral lists this ribosomal RNA (708 nucleotides) under Actinomycetes bacterium. RNAcentral's name for it is "bacterial SSU rRNA". It matches the Rfam family "Bacterial small subunit ribosomal RNA", at positions 80 to 804 of the family's 1533-position model. The record is from RNAcentral. Lineage: Bacteria; Bacillati; Actinomycetota; Actinomycetes.